Molecule: ribosomal RNA, 307 nt
Filed under: uncultured eukaryote
Lineage: Eukaryota
Description: partial 18S ribosomal RNA
Rfam family: Eukaryotic small subunit ribosomal RNA
Source: RNAcentral
CCCUUAGACGUUCUGGGCCGCACGCGCGCUACACUGACGAAGGCAACGAGCUUUCCUUUACCGAAAGGUACGGGUAAUCUUUUGAAACUUCGUCGUGCUGGGGAUAGAUCCUUGCAAUUUUUGAUCUUAAACGAGGAAUUCCUAGUAAGCGCAAGUCAUCAACUUGCGUUGAUUACGUCCCUGCCCUUUGUACACACCGCCCGUCGCUACUACCGAUUGAAUGGUUUAGUGAGGCCUUCGGAUCCGCGACUCGUUUUGUGGAGAAGUUGGACAAACUCAGUCAUUUAGAGGAAGUAAAAGUCGUAAC